Molecule: ribosomal RNA, 481 nt
Filed under: uncultured bacterium
Lineage: Bacteria
Description: partial 16S ribosomal RNA
Rfam family: Bacterial small subunit ribosomal RNA
Source: RNAcentral
GAUGAACGCUGGCGGCGUGCUUAACACAUGCAAGUCGAACGAAGCAUUUGCGACAGAUUUUUUCGGAAUGAAGUUGCUUAUGACUGAGUGGCGGACGGGUGAGUAACGCGUGGGUAACCUGCCUUGUACCGGGGGAUAGCAGCUGGAAACGGCUGGUAAUACCGCAUAAGCGCACAAUGUUGCAUGACAUGGUGUGAAAAACUCCGGUGGUAUAAGAUGGACCCGCGUCUGAUUAGCUAGUUGGUGAGAUAACAGCCCACCAAGGCGACGAUCAGUAGCCGACCUGAGAGGGUGACCGGCCACAUUGGGACUGAGACACGGCCCAGACUCCUACGGGAGGCAGCAGUGGGGAAUAUUGCACAAUGGAGGAAACUCUGAUGCAGCGACGCCGCGUGAGUGAAGAAGUAAUUCGUUAUGUAAAGCUCUAUCAGCAGGGAAGAUAGUGACGGUACCUGACUAAGAAGCUCCGGCUAAAUACGUG